RNAcentral lists this transfer RNA (68 nucleotides) under Histrio histrio (sargassumfish). Its description in RNAcentral is "tRNA-Tyr". It matches the Rfam family "tRNA". From Rfam's summary of the family: Transfer RNA (tRNA) molecules are approximately 80 nucleotides in length. Their secondary structure includes four short double-helical elements and three loops (D, anti-codon, and T loops). The record is from RNAcentral. RNAcentral also lists the same sequence under 1 other name. Lineage: Eukaryota; Metazoa; Chordata; Actinopteri; Lophiiformes; Antennariidae.
GGUAAGAUGGCCGAGAUUAGGUGGCGGGUUGUAGCCCCGCAGACAGGGGAUCAUACCUCUUCUUAUCA